This 940-nucleotide long non-coding RNA is filed under the name Apteryx owenii (little spotted kiwi). Its description in RNAcentral is "lncRNA (ENSAOWG00000011274.1)". Lineage: Eukaryota; Metazoa; Chordata; Aves; Apterygiformes; Apterygidae. The record is from RNAcentral.
AAAACACGCUGUUCAUAAUUUAGAAGGCAUCUCCAUCAUGGUUGUCAUUACUGUUUGAAAAAAGGCAGAGGUCUGGAAGAGAGGAGAGAAGCAAGUCAGAAAGGAGGAGCAUCUCUCAAGCUGCAUCGGGCUGCUCCAGUCAAGCAAGUUCCCGGUAAUGACAUGAGGGCUCAGUGAGACGGUGAUUUACAGUUGCCUGGGAAGAUGUUACUUCCAGACUUGGCCAAAAUUACAGAACUUGUUUUGCCACAUCUGGGAGUCAGGAGAUCAAAAGGACUGCGGCGUUAGUCACCGUGCAGACAGAGGAGGGGAGCAGCGAUGGUCAUGACGCCGUUCCCGACGAGCAGGCUAACAGCUUCCACCAGAGGGUCUGACGAAACCUGCGGGACCUGUUGGUGCAGGGGAAGAGCAUCGAGUAAUUGAGAUGCGGUUGUCCCAGGGGCCUGCUCGCGAGCGUGGUUGGCACACAGGUCGCCAGAGCCCAGCCCUCGCCAGGAAUCCUGAGAAUCUCUCCCGGGAAAGAUGAAGGCACAAGCCCUGACACACCGAGGGUGGUUCCCUGGGCGAGAUGGGAAGAAGCGGAGGACGAGGCUGCAGCCGCGGUCCUGACGUGCCGCUUCCUGAAAACUCGCUUUAGAGAUGGAAUCCUGCGCCGUGCGUCACGGACGUCUGCGCUGCCCCCGUGGAUGGGCCGGGAUGGAGUCUGGCUGCGACUCGCCUGAGGUUCGCUGGACGCGUGCUUGUGUCCUGAGCCCUGCUGCGGCUCUUGCCAAGGCUCUCCCGUAAAAGUGGUCUCGUUGACUUAAAGUGGGAAGGGGUUUCCUGGGAACCUCCCCAAAGCUGGAGGCCCCCGUGGCUGCUGCUCUGCAGGGUAGAAAUGGGUUUGGUUUUUGUGCCUCUGCGAGCUGGUGGAAGCCCUCAUAAAAAAAUAAAAUAAAAU